GACGAACGCUGGCGGUGCGCCUAAUGCAUGCAAGUCGAACGGGCGGAGGGGCUUCGGCCCCCGAGCUAGUGGCAGACGGCUGAGUAACACGUAAGUGAUCUACCCCGGAGAGGGGGAUAACCCGGAGAAGUCCGGCCUAAUACCCCGUACGCUCCUUAGACUGCGGUCUAGGGAGGAAAAGUUCCGGCGCUCUGGGAGGAGCUUGCGGCUUAUCAUGGUAGUUGGUGGGGUAAAAGCCUACCAAGCCGAAGACGGGUAACCGGUGUGAGAGCACGAUCGGUCAGAGGGGGACUGAGACACGGCCCCCACUCCUACGGGAGGCAGCAGCAGGGAAUCUUGCGCAAUGGGCGAAAGCCUGACGCAGCGACACCGC
RNAcentral lists this ribosomal RNA (373 nucleotides) under uncultured bacterium. RNAcentral's name for it is "bacterial SSU rRNA". It matches the Rfam family "Bacterial small subunit ribosomal RNA", at positions 28 to 400 of the family's 1533-position model. The record is from RNAcentral.